GAUGAACGCUAGCGGCAGGCCUAAUACAUGCAAGUCGAACGAUACCAGAGAGCUUGCUUUCUGGGAAAGUGGCGCACGGGUGCGUAACGCGUAUGCAACCUACCUUAAUCAGGAGGAUAGCCUCUCGAAAGAGAGAUUAACACCGCAUAACAUCAUUUUACGGCAUCGUAGAAUGAUCAAAUAUUUAUAGGAUUAAGAUGGGCAUGCGUGACAUUAGCUAGUUGGUGAGGUAACGGCUCACCAAGGCUACGAUGUCUAGGGGAUCUGAGAGGAUGACCCCCCACACGAGUACUGAGACACGGACCAGACUCCUACGGGAGGCAGCGGUAAGGAAUAUUGGUCAAUGGAGGCAACUCUGAACCAGCCAUGCCGCGUGCAGGAAGACGGCCCUAUGGGUUGUAAACUGCUUUUAUACGGGAAUAAACCUCUCUACGUGUAGGGAGUUGAAUGUACUGUAAGAAUAGGGAUCGGCUAACUCCGUGCCAGCCGCCGCCGUAA
RNAcentral lists this ribosomal RNA (498 nucleotides) under uncultured bacterium. Its description in RNAcentral is "partial 16S ribosomal RNA". It matches the Rfam family "Bacterial small subunit ribosomal RNA", at positions 28 to 523 of the family's 1533-position model. The record is from RNAcentral.